Long non-coding RNA from Ictalurus punctatus (channel catfish), 3258 nucleotides. RefSeq lists it as uncharacterized. The record is from RefSeq and is a predicted model, not a curated record. The transcript has 2 exons. Lineage: Eukaryota; Metazoa; Chordata; Actinopteri; Siluriformes; Ictaluridae.
UGGAAUCAGAGUUGGAGCUCUGCAGGCAAUUCAGCCACUGAUCAGAGCUUUUGUGUGACUGAUUACACUCUCAGACUGGCGGAAACGGCCACGAGACACGAAUCAGCUGAAAUAAGCCGAGUAAAAAUCAAUGACGGAUACAGACUACAGUGUGUUAAUUUGAGUAUAAUAACACUGACGUGCAUUUUCUAACAUAUCUGAGAUCCCGGGUAUUCUCGGAAGGCCGGGUUAGAUCUUCAGGAAUAUUCCGAGCAGGAUCGACAGGACCAAAUGCAAACCCAACAAGAACUCCCUGGUUUCCUGUGAAACUCCUCCGUACGCCAAAACCGAGGUCUUCCCCAAUAACUUCCACGAACUUAUCAUCUUCACUUAAAAAAGAUGUCUCACUCAUGAUUAGAACAAAGAAAAAAAAGAUACAAACACCUUAUAUUGAAUCUUCAGUGAACACCGUGAACACAGGAGCUUGUUUAAGUAUCGUACACAACAGAUAAGCGGCUGCCGGAACAGGUGAUAAAUAAAAUAAUAAUAAUAAUAAUAAUAAUAACAGCGUGUGCACAAAUAAGUUAGAGGCUCUAUAAGCGCUUCUACAAAAGCAAACCACAUAGAUGAUAAGGAGGAGGAUGCUAAUAUAAAAUAAGGAUGAUUUCUUAUAUGCGUACAGUGUAUUUCUCACACUAAGACCACUUGAAUGCUCCACUUUUACAGGAAAAAAAAACAGGAGUGGGUUUCUCUCUCUGAAAAAGGUCAGGCAUCGCUAAAAGGUCACUGAGUCGUGGGUCUGCUUGUCUUCCACAACCAGUGAGAGAGAGAGAGAGAGAGAGAGAGGCACUGCAGGAGUCUCUCGGCAGUGACAUUUCACACAGAGAUCAGCCACAGCAACUGGCAUUUAACUCCCUUUUAAAUCCGACAGAUCAGGCCGUGCUCGUUAGGAAGUGCCGAUCAUACUGCUGAAGUCUUUAUCACAAGACCCCCCCCCCGUCCCAUCCACCUCUCUCUCUCUCUCUCUCUCUCUCUUUCUCUCUCUCUCGCUCUCUCUCUCUCUCUCUCUCUCUCUCUCUUCUCACAUGCCCACGCAUCGUACUGUAACCGGCAGUCUGAGCUCGCUUGUCUCGUCUGGAAGAGGAAGUGUGAACGCUGGGUGUGGUGGUGUUUAUUCUUCUCUAAAGGUUGAGCCACAGGAGUUAAGCUGAGAAAAUGCAACAGAGCCGUCCAGAAUGACGAGUGGUGUCACAGGGAAUCGUUUGGUUUUCCAUUAGUGAGUCACUGACGAAUCAUAAUUGUUGGACCUGGGGUUAUUUGGUCAGUGUUUUCAGAUGGUUUAGAUGAGGUUUUUCACUGAUCAUGUCAUAGUAUUGUACAGCGUGUCAGUAACAUUUCCAUACAUACACUGCAUCCGGAAAGCAUCCAGAGCGCUUCACUUUCCCCACAUUUUGUUAAGUUACAGCCUUAUUCCAAAAUGGAUUAAAUUCAUUAUUUUUCAUUAUUUUAUUAUAAAUUAUUAUUUUAAGGCUGUGAAUACUUAUGUACAUGUGCUUUUUUUGUUUUUCAUUUUUAAUAAAUUUGCAAAGAUUUCAAACAAAACUUCUUUCACGUUGUCAUUACGGGGUAUUGUUUGUAGAAUUUUGAGGAAAAUAAUGAAUUUAAUCCAUUGUGGAAUAAGGCUGUCACAUAACGUGGAAACAGUGAAGCGCUGUGAAUACUUUCCAGAUGCACUGUAUGGCAAAAAAUGUUCAUACUUAGUUUAUAUUAUAUAUUUAUAUUUUUCAGAUAGUCUUUAAGAACGCCAUUGCCAAAAGAAGAACGUGUUGAAAUCAUUCUCCUGGCUGGAUCAGGAAGCUGUCGCAAGGUUGCGAUGGAUUUUUAGAUGCAUAACAGCAGAUGUGUUAACACGAGUGGGAGAGACGACUCUGUGUGUGUUUACAAAGAAAUAGCAAGCACGUAGAGGAUGUUUUGUAAAGUAAGUAGAGUGAAGAUUCAUUUUGCCAAAAAUGUUUAAUUUCCCCUCUGUAUGGAAACUAUCUACUGGGACACCCUGGAGUAUUGUAAUGCAUUCUCACACUUAAAAAAAACAAAAAAAAAACAACCUUUUCAGUGAAAUGUGUGUAAGUGUGUGUUAGUCAGAGACUAAAAACCGAGAGAAGAAGAAGAAGUAUAUCAGUUGUAUAAACUUCAACAUCAGCUGCACAUCGAUGCGUCAUUUAUGAUUUCAGGAAUGUUGUGCAGUUGUGACGCAGCAGCAUUAUCUGCUCAUGUUAGUUAUGUAACGUGUCUCUUUUUGUCCAACGGUUUUACUGACAUGGCGUAUAUAAUGACGUGGAACACCACUGACAAUAUUGAAAACAAAUCUGUCCUUUACUAAGACGCAGGCGGCAGCAGGUUAGACACGAUUCAAUGCAAUAAAUGCUCGAAACCCAAACCAAUACCGCCAGUUACAGGUGAAGUAAAAAAAAAACAUGCAGGUUAUGUAAAGCACUGACACUGGAGACUCCUUCAAUAAAUGUUUAUAAUAAUAAUAAUAAUAAUAAAAAUAAAUGUCUCCUCACAGAAAAGUCAUCAUAUCAAAGAUUUUUUAAUCCGUUUAUGUGGAGCGUCCGUCAUACAAGUCCCUGUUACUAUAGAAACGAUAAGGUAUUAGAACGAGUGCCUUAACGUAAACCUGUGAUCUGUAGCUGCGCUACUGCCAGAGCUGCUGUUCUAGAAAACUAAUCAACACCUUCUGACCAAUCAGGAUGGAAUAAUAAUUAGUAUUGAUUCAGAACAGUAAACUGGUGAAAAGAUUGAAUGUACGUCUCAGUUCUUUACAAAACGUGUUUGCCGCCUGAAGUUUGCUUCUUUAUCUUUGUACUGGUGCUGACGAAGCUAAUACAAGGGAAGUGGAUCACUACCAGCUUGUACCCUUCGGAAACCUCCAGAAGCCAAAUGUCUUGGCUGAUUUGGUCAAGGAUACAUUGUAAUAUGCUUAGUUAAACUUUUUGUUUAAGCUCGUUUAUUUAUUUGUUUAUUUAUUUAUUUACUGGAUUUGAGCACGCACUCAUGACUUGCAUGAGCAAAGUAUGUGGGUGAGAAGUGAAAACAAACAGGAGAUAAAUUAGGAUUUAGGACGUGGACGAGCCCAGCCGCGUGGGUAUUAUAUAAAGUUCUCAACUUUGGUAUCACGGAAAAUGUGAUGAAUGUAUAAUUAUACACAACACAACUCAUUAACACCUGAUGUUAAGAAGCAAGAAAAGACUCUAAAUAAAUCAGUUCACUUGGUUUAAA